GGGGUUGUGGCUCAGUGGUAGAGUGCUCACCUAGUAUGUGUGAGACACUGGGUUCCAUCCUCAGCACCACA
RNAcentral lists this transfer RNA (71 nucleotides) under Marmota monax (woodchuck). RNAcentral's name for it is "tRNA.Thr". It matches the Rfam family "tRNA". From Rfam's summary of the family: Transfer RNA (tRNA) molecules are approximately 80 nucleotides in length. Their secondary structure includes four short double-helical elements and three loops (D, anti-codon, and T loops). Lineage: Eukaryota; Metazoa; Chordata; Mammalia; Rodentia; Sciuridae. The record is from RNAcentral.